This 468-nucleotide ribosomal RNA is filed under the name uncultured bacterium. RNAcentral describes it as "partial 16S ribosomal RNA". It matches the Rfam family "Bacterial small subunit ribosomal RNA", at positions 28 to 507 of the family's 1533-position model. The record is from RNAcentral.
GACGAACGCUGGCGGCGUGCUUAACACAUGCAAGUCGAACGGAAAGGCCCUGCUUUUGUGGGGUGCUCGAGUGGCGAACGGGUGAGUAACAUGUGAGUAACCUGCCCUUUACUUUGGGAUAACUUCAGGAAACUGGGGCUAAUACCGGAUAGGAGCCCCUGCUGCAUGGGGGGGGUUGGAAAGUUUCGGCGGUUGGGGAUGGACUCGCGGCUUAUCAGCUUGUUGGUGGGGUAGUGGCUUACCAAGGCUUUGACGGGUAGCCGGCCUGAGAGGGUGACCGGCCACAUUGGGACUGAGAUACGGCCCAGACUCCUACGGGAGGCAGCAGUGGGGAAUAUUGCACAAUGGGCGGAAGCCUGAUGCAGCAACGCCGCGUGCGGGAUGACGGCCUUCGGGUUGUAAACCGCUUUCGCCUGUGACGAAGCGUGAGUGACGGUACUGGGUGAAGAAGCACCGGCUAACUACGUG